Molecule: non-coding RNA, 1428 nt
Organism: Oryza sativa Japonica Group (Japanese rice)
Lineage: Eukaryota; Viridiplantae; Streptophyta; Magnoliopsida; Poales; Poaceae
Source: RefSeq, a predicted model, not a curated record
ACUUUAAAUAUGUGUCCGUAUAUUUAAUGUGACACGCCAAAACUUUAUCCCAGUAUAAAAACAGCCUAUAUAUCACGGUUCAUGGACGCAAUUCAAACUCAUUAAGAUAACGGAUUCCAGUUCUGUUCGGCCAUACAAGCCCCGUCCAUCGGAAGCGAAGUCCGUCUCACACCCUACAGUCGAAUCGAGGCGACGAGGCGAGCGGCGGCGGCGGAGAGCGAAGAGUAAAUCGAGGAGGAGGAGGAAGAAGGAGCUCUCCUGUGGCGACCAUGUCUCUCCGUGCCCUCGGUUCCCUUCUCACCUGUAGGAGAUUCUCGCCACGCGCGCAGGCGCAGGCGGAGGCGGAGUCCUCGCUGGGGAUCUUCACUCAGGCUACGGCGGGGAGAGGGAUCUCGCCGUUGGUGAUGGUGGCGCUUAUGGAGUUGUAGCCACGAUUGCGUUGGCUGGAUUGGCCACAAUCCUGUAUUUCAACGAGAGCACAGACAAGUCAGGAGGUAUGAAUUGACAAAAAAGAAAAAAAAACAAAACAAAAGCCUUUAGAUUUCUCUUCGUUAGUUAGCUCUGAUCCAGGUGACCUAACCAUGCCCACCACCACCUACCUGUUGAUGUACAUCUCCAGCUGCAGGAGGAAGGCAGGAAGGGGUUACUGCCUAAAUCCCAUAAUAUAAUAUAAGGCACACAUGCGUUUUAAGAUUCAACUUUUAAAACAUUUGAUUAACUAUUAUGAAUUUUAUUUGCUGAAAAUAAUACAUUGGAUUGAUAUUUGAAUUUAAUUUCAUAUGGUUAUAGUUUACUUUUAUAUUGCUACAAACAUUAUACUAUAUAUAAGAAAUUAGAAUCCAAAGAUUUGUUUUAAAGACCGUACUAAGUUUAACCGACUUAUAUUAUGGGAUAGAGGAUGUAUGUGACAGGGGGGCUGUCAAGGAACCUUACCCUUACCUGAGUAAGGAAGCAGCCAUCAAGGCAGGGUUUGUGGACAAAGAUGGCACAGUUCAGUGGGCUAGUUAUCUCGAUCAUGUCAACUUUCAAACACUCAUGGGGGAAUGCCUCCUUACGACGAGGAAGCAUCUGCUAAGGAGGUGAGUGACUGGGAAGAAGCUGUGAAGCAGCAGGAUGUGAAGGUCGAUGAGGCAACCAUGAAGGCCAGGUUUCAGGACUGGAUGAAGGAGCACAACCGUUCGUACAGCACCGAGGAGGAGAAGGCUCGCUGCUAUGAAAUAUUCAAGGAGACCGCGAUAAGGGCAGACAAGGCUAAUGCGGUAAGACCAAUGGAUGUCCCUUUCGCCCCUAACGGAUUCGCAGACUGGACUGAUGAAGAGUGCAAUAGUCUGUAUUCCCAUCCUGGUAGCUUUGACUGGGAGAGGUACAUCGAUCACAUGAACACUAUGAAUGCUAAUGGGGGAUACAUUGGCAAUCAAGACUGUAAAG